GGGGAUGUAGCUUAGUGGUAGAGUGCUUGCCUAGUAUGUGAGAGGCCCUAGGUUCAAUCUCUAGCACUCCCU
Fukomys damarensis (Damara mole-rat) is the source of this 72-nucleotide non-coding RNA. NCBI's taxonomy places the organism in Eukaryota, Metazoa, Chordata, Mammalia, Rodentia, Bathyergidae. The record is from Rfam.